This 406-nucleotide ribosomal RNA is filed under the name uncultured bacterium. RNAcentral describes it as "partial 16S ribosomal RNA". It matches the Rfam family "Bacterial small subunit ribosomal RNA", at positions 30 to 526 of the family's 1533-position model. The record is from RNAcentral.
AUUGAACGCUGGCGGCAGGCCUAACACAUGCAAGUCGAGCGAGCGGCGGACGGGUGAGUGAUGUCUGUGAGACUGCCUGAUGGAGGGGGGUAACUACUGGAGACGGUAGCUAAUACCGCAUACCCUCAGAUGUGCCCAGAUGGGAUUAGCUAGUAGGGGGGGGAAUGGCUCACCUAGUGGACGAUCCCUAGCUGGUCUGAGAGGAUGACCAGCCACACUGGAACUGAGACACGGUCCAGACUCCUACGGGAGGCAGCAGUGGGGAAUAUUGCACAAUGGGCGCAAGCCUGAUGCAGCCAUGCCGCGUGUAUGAAGAAGGCCUUCGGGUUGUAAAGUACUUUCAGCGGGGAGGCGUUACUCGCAGAAGAAGCACCGGCUAACUCCGUGCCAGCAGCCGCGGUAAUUC